Non-coding RNA from Camelina sativa (false flax), 463 nucleotides. The record is from RefSeq and is a predicted model, not a curated record. Lineage: Eukaryota; Viridiplantae; Streptophyta; Magnoliopsida; Brassicales; Brassicaceae.
AAAAGAUAGUUUAUGUUCUUCUACCCUAGUAAAAUCAUUGACGAAGUCUAGACUUCUCCGCCGUAUCAUAUGAUGGCUCGAUUCCCUUUCCUCUUCUCUACCGUUUGAUCUUUAUUUUCAUGGUGUUUUUUCAUCUCACCUUUUAAUGCAUUAAGUGCUAUUCCAAUCGCUACACUUCUCCAUCUUCAGCUUUGUAAGAGUUCUCAAUGAUUCUAAUCGUAAUUGUAACGGCGUGGAUUCUGAACGAAGGAAUCAUCAAAAGAUGGAGAGGCAAUGAGCACCUGAGCCCUUGAAAACGUUCCAAGCACUCUGCAUUUUCAUUUUCUUCUCUUUUGGUUUGUCGCAAUGUUUGUUUUUAGUUUUUUAAACUGAGCGUUAGUGAGAUUUAUAAAACAGGGGACUUCUAUGACAAUAAUAACAUUGGACUUGAGCUAGAAAUUUAUCGCCUGUGUUGCUUUUGAUU